GUGGGGUUCCCGAGCGGCCAAAGGGAGCAGACUGUAAAUCUGCCGUCAUCGACUUCGAAGGUUCGAAUCCUUCCCCCAC
RNAcentral lists this transfer RNA (79 nucleotides) under Escherichia coli. RNAcentral describes it as "tRNA-Tyr". It matches the Rfam family "tRNA". From Rfam's summary of the family: Transfer RNA (tRNA) molecules are approximately 80 nucleotides in length. Their secondary structure includes four short double-helical elements and three loops (D, anti-codon, and T loops). Lineage: Bacteria; Pseudomonadati; Pseudomonadota; Gammaproteobacteria; Enterobacterales; Enterobacteriaceae. RNAcentral also lists the same sequence under 18 other names. The record is from RNAcentral.